AGGCACUGUGCUGAGUGCUUUACAAAUAUGUGAUACAACCCUGGGAAAGUGGUGCUUUUAUUACCAUUUUAAGUUGAGAAAGAGAUAAAAAUAAAGAUGACUUCAAAGAUUAUUUCCAGUUCAAAAUCUAUGAUGGGGUGACAUGUAGAAGACAGAAGGACACAAUUAAAUUUAUUCUCUUGUUGGAGUUUUGGUAGGUUUUGAUUGAAGGACGGUGGCUUACCCCUAAAUUGGUACCUUUGUUAAGAGGGAAAAUGCUACCAGUACCAAACUUGGAUAAUUAUCCCUAUUAUUUGAGAUGUAACCUAGUGUAAAGGGUAGAAUACUGUUCAUAGAAUAAAAAUAGACCUCAGACCAGACCUCUCACUAAUUUUGUGAUCUUGGACCGUAAGAGAAGUUGCUUUACUCAUUUUACAAAUAACUCACAUAAUCAUUUGCUGACCACCACGUGCUAGGCAUUGGGAAUACAAAACAAAAAUAAAGCUCUUCUUGCCCUAGAAGAGCAUUUUUUUGGGAAGGAUUAUUUGUAAAUGUGUAAGUGUAUACAAGGUAAUAUCUGGAGGGGUAAAAUAGGCAUUUGUCAGUACCUAUCGAUUUCACAAGUUGCUCUGAGAAUCAAAUGGGAUAAUAUAUGGAAAAGGGCCUUAAACUUGAAACUGCUGUAAGACUAUAAGAUAUUAAGUACUGAAUGUAAUAGUUACAUCAACAUGACUUUCUGAUUCUUCCCAAAUGUCAAACCAAUGAAACCACUUUUCCUCCUACUUCGACACCUUAAGUAGCUUAGUCUUACCUAUCUCUUCCUGUUGUUAAAAUUGAAGCAUUGUAACUCCUAGGAGCUUCUGUCUAAUGAGCACAAAGCAAGACAAUUCUAACAAAAAAAAAAAAAAUAGAAUUUGAACCUCAAUUAUAUUUUGUGUUGUUUUAUGAACAUUAACAACCUUCUAGCUACCAAUGAAAUUCUCAGAUUGAUGAUGUUGAGGAAAGGUAUAAUAGUAGUUACUCCUGGAAAUUGAUAUAGAAAACAAACAUUGGAAUUUAAAAUUUUAGUACCAACUUUCUGUAGCCUCUAAAAGAGGCAACAUACUAGCAUGAAGUUACAAUGUUCUUAAAUAUAUCUAGACCUUCUUGUAUUUUUUUUGUAAAUAAUAAUGACCACUACAUUCAACGUAAUUCCAUUGAGGUAUGACUACAAAACUUGAACUGUAACCAUUGUGUAGAUUAGAAGCUUUUUGCAUUCUUUUUAGCUAUCCCAUCCAAAGCAUUUGCCCAUAUGUAUUCUUGCUUAAAGUUUAUGUCCUAAAGCCUCUAUUGCUUACCUCAGAGAGGAAUGUGACAUAAUGGUUAUAGAAUCAGACUCAGAAUCGGGAAGAAAGGUUAAGGUAUUGCCUCAGACCCACACAUGCUGGUUUUGUGACCUUGGCCUAGGCACUUAACCUUUUAGCUUCUGAGGCAACUCUUAAAACUAAAAAUUGCUGAAGAUUUGCUGAUCUGCAUAUUUGCAUUGGUAGAGAAUUUCCUCUAUAAAGAAGAUUCAGAUAAAAAAAAAAUCGGUGAAGCUGUCAACAGUUGUUAUAUCUAAGUGUGGCAUGUGGUGAUAUUUCUUGUGUCACUCAACGGCUUUCAGAAAUAUAGUUUUGAAUAUUUAAAAUAGUAGUGCUUUAGCAAUUAUAUUGAUAUUUGUCUAUAAGUGAAAAAAGCACUUAAUUCAGCACCUAUCAAUAUGAAAUUGGCUGUGUGGUGAGCCUAUAUCUCACCACUAAGAGCUGAAUAGGGCCACCAUUUUAUAGAAGCAUAACAUUAGGUUGCAUUAAUCCCAUAUUACAGAUUUUUUUCUUAAUCAUUGUUAGUCUUUUUGACCCAAAAUCUAUUUGAUGUACUUUCAGAAUUUUAUGCAAUACAUUUAUUCCUGAAAUGUGUGCAUUAAGUAAGUAACAAAGCAUUCCUCUCAAAGUUUUCCUCUGUUGUUUCUUCAAGUAUAGAACUGACUCUUGGGUCUUAGGAUAUCUACCAGCUGAACAUAGGUUCUAGUAGAUCUGAUCAAACUAAAAAGUUUCUCCAAGUUUAGUCUCUCAUCAGAGUAUGAGGCCAUUUAAAUUCAGAGUACUUUGUCACCAUCAUGCCUUUUUCUCUUUUCAGCAAUAGCAGCUGGAAGGAUUGUAAUCUCUGAUGAUAGGCUACAAAUUUUGAUUACAAUAAAUAUCCAUAACUGCUUUUUUAAUCAAUGAAGAUUUUCAUAUCAGGAUGUUUAAAGUAGAUGUCUCCUUUAUGAUUCCCAUUAAGUACCUUUGUUUUUUAUUUUUUAUGGAUUAUCACUUUUAUCACUAAAAACUUCCUUAAAGCCUAAGGUGGCUAAAAUAACCCUGAUUUUUUUAAAAGCUAAAUAGUCAAAAGGCAGGAAGUGUCAAAGACUUCUAUUACGGGUCCAGUAUCAAACUAUCAUCAGAAGACCAACCUACUGAAGUUUGGAGAGGUUCAGCAUCAGAAAGAUAUCCUCUACAUGCUUUCCCCUUCCCUCUCCCCAAUACCUCCUGGAGGCUGUCUACAUCUAGUAGUGGAAUAGUUGAUAGUCAUUUGACAUUUUAAAGUUUAUCACCACCUAGUGGCAGAAUUGUAUUUUAAACCAUUAUGCAGUAGCUUUCGAACUUUUUGCAGGAGCCUUUUACUUUAAGAGUUUGAAAAUUUUGUUAUAAAAUCUUACAUUUUUUUUAUUGCUAUCAAAUAGCAUAAUACAGGUUUGAAAGACCCUUUUUAAAAUUGUAUAACUGCUUUAGCUAACUUUCAAAAGAACAUGUUCCCAGCGUGUUGGCAGAGAAAAUGAGAUAAUUUGGGAAAGGUGAAGAUGAAGAUACCUUAGAUACCUUCAAGACCAUUAAGUUAAGUACCCUUAAAAUAUUUUUACAGUCAAAGGUUCUGAUAAAGGCCUCAUUUCCAAAAUAUAUAGAGAAUUAGCUCUAAUUUAUAAAAAAUCAAGCCAUUCUCCAAUUGAAAAAUGGUCAAAGGAUAUGAACAGACAAUUCUCAGAUGAAGAAAUUGAAACUAUUUCUAGUCAUAUGAAAAGAUGCUCCAAGUCAUUAUUAAUCAGAGAAAUGCAAAUUAAGACAACUCUAAGAUACCACUACACACCUGUCAGAUUGGCUAAGAUGACAGGAAAAAAUAAUGAUGAUUGUUGG
Molecule: long non-coding RNA, 3170 nt
Organism: Sarcophilus harrisii (Tasmanian devil)
Lineage: Eukaryota; Metazoa; Chordata; Mammalia; Dasyuromorphia; Dasyuridae
Source: Ensembl